CUCCUUCUAUUUCCAUUUCUCUCUCUCACACAAAUCUAUUGCUUUCAAACCUUUACUUCGACUACAUUGUCUGGCCUCAAGUAGUCUUGCUAAAAAAAAAGGAACCCCGCAUGUAAUCCCUUUUCUCUUUUUGCAAGAAAUAAAAAACGUGAAUCUCGUCCCGAUUAAAAAAAAAAUUCCUGAAGCAGCUUUAAUUUCACGCUCCAGCGGGAGCAAUUGCUUAAUGGACAUGCCUCAGCAGAGGGCCUAAUUGCCCGAGGGAGGAAGUCCAGCGUUAGCUGGCGAGGGAGCCCGAGCAAGCCCGAGUGCCAGGCCCGUGGAUUCAUGCCAGCCCAAGCGCCUGAGGUGAGUUUGACAUCAGCGGACGUCAGAUGCCUGUUAUAUAAAACCACAGAUUGAGCAAAGCCCAGUUUUCUAUUUUUUCAUUUUUUUUGUUGGGUUUUUCAGAACAAAUUCACAAACCCAACAAAUUAUGAAGAAUUGAGAAACAAAACUAGCUUUAUCUGUGUGUGUUCAGUAAAUUCGAUUCAAAAAAUCCCUUUUUUUAUUUUAUUUUCUGCUAUCUUGUGGAAUGAUGGAGCUGCAAAGAUCAGCAACGCUGAGAUUCUUUCUAGGGUUUAUGCUGCUGUCUAUGGCGAAUGGGAGAUUCGUGGUGGAGAAGAACAACUUGAGGGUCACAUCCCCGGAUGAAAUCAAAGGCACGUACGACAGCGCCAUUCAUGGUGGAGGAUGGAGAUGCAAAAUGCGAUUACUGUUUAUUAAGGACGGUUAUUAUUCAUUGGGUGGAUAGCAUAGUGUAUUACAUGGGGGAAGGGUUCCCAUGUUGGAACUGCUCUGAAAAGAAGAAAGCGAAUCCCGUGAGGGAGAUCAAGGUCCAGAAGCUGGUCCUCAACAUCUACAUCGAUGAGAGCGGAGAUCUACUCACGAGAGCCGCCAAGGGUAUUUUGAGGUAUCCAAAAUGUGUAACUCACGAGAGCCACCAAGCAACUUAGUGGCCAAACACCUGUUUUCUCCAAAGGUAAUAAUUUUUUAGCUCUUUGGAUCUUUAUUGGUAAUUCAUUUUUUGCAUCAUUUUAUCUGUCUACUACUAGAAAUUCCAAAAUGUGUAAUUCACAACCAAAUUGAUGUUCAAGUCCAUAUGGUAUUUUGAAGUGUACUCAAUUUAUAAUUUUAGCUAAUAAGACAAUAUUAUGUUCAUUCAUCUAUAUUCGAGUUCACAUCGUUCUAUUUUCAAUUUUGUAAGAGAUGACCUUUUACUAAUUGUCAAGGUGCUUCCAACCAUAAAUUGAUAUAUUACGUACCUUUAUUUUUUCUCUUAAUUUAUCAGGAAUUUAUUUGCAUAUGUGUAGUGUAGACAAUUUUAACCAAUGAGUUUUAACUUUAAUUGGAAUUGAUCUUUGUCUUACUUAUGGCAUAUACAAUGAAAAUAUGAUAUCUGUCUACUUUUUUUUCUUUUCAUUUGUCGUUAUUUUCCAUACAUUUGUGUUGAUAUAGGGAAGCAAUGUGAUAGCUAACUCUGUGUGUCACAUUUUUGUGUAGAAUUUUUAUUUUUAUUUGAGACGUGGAUAUAAAGAGAUGGAUUGUGUUUAUCCGGUUUAUAUUAAUUCAAAGAAAAUUGUGGCUCAAGGGAACAAUUAAUGAUCCACAGGGCAUCAAAGUAUCUUACUCAAUUGUAUAUUACACGUGUGUACUGCAUUAUGUCUGUGCGAAUACCUCUUUUCACUGUCAAUCUAUGUUAGUUUUAAAUUCUAAGUUGAUUUAACAAAUAGGUCUCUUUUUAUUUCAAAUUAAUUUGGUUCUCGCUAAAUGAAUCAAAGAUCACAAGACUAGAACCAAUGGUUUCCAAAAAUGGUUGGUCCUUGAAUAUUUUCAUUUAUGCUUUUUUCAGUUCUUUGAAUGGACUUCCUAUAAUCCAAAAUGAGCUAUUGAACAGCUCUUUUGCUACAUUGUGUUUGCAAAUCAAUAUUUAGACUAAUAAUUGAAGGCUAAUUCUUUUUUGUUGAAAAAUGUAAUUUGGUUUUGUAGGUAAAGAUUGCAAAUUUGAUGCAGGUAUGAAUACUUACACUUAUUCGUCUUUGCGUUUUCUCCUUCUUUCAAGAAAUUACAUUUCCUUUCACAACUUCAGCUAAAACCAUUCAGCAAACAAACAUAUUCACGAAGGAGGUUGUUAGUUCAAGUGCCAAUUUCAGGCAUUGAUACACUGACUUUAUAUCAACAUUUUUUGGAUUGCAUAGGUUAUUUUUAGGAGUUGACAGAAAUGAAAAAUUUGUUUAGUUUAAUAUGUUUCUACUAAAUUUUUCAGGCUAAAAAGGAUGACAAGAAUAUUAGUGGUCAAUUGUAUUCUAGUUUAAUGAGGGGAGGAACAAGUAAACUUAUUCUACGUUUUCUUUCGUUUUUAGUUGAGCAUUUAUUUGUAUUUUUCAAAAAUUUUGGAUUGUUUUUGUUGGACAUUGAUGAUUGUGGCAUUUUAGAAAAAGGUAUAUCCCAAAUAAUAAUUUUGUUUGGUUUUUUAUUCCUUUUCCGUUUCUCUUCUUUUGAUUCCCUAUUUAUAUAUUCUGUGUUUUCUUAUGGCAGUUUUGAAACCUUAUCUUUUCUGAAUUUGUAUGCUUUAUGGGUUGUCAUUUAGUCUACUUAAUUAUCAUCGUGAGCAUAGGAGGAUGUUCGUGGCACACUACAACAAGUUUUCUUUUUGGCAAGUUAAUUCAUAUUCAUGAUUCCGUUAUCAGUUGCAUUUGCUUUCCCAUGAUUUCUCAUGAAUUGGACGUGAAUGUAUUUUUAUUGAGCAACAGAUGCUUCAACCAUAUAUUAUUAUAAUUGUACGAAGACUUAGCAUUACAAGGUUUUGAAAUUAUCUCUUUCUUUGUCUAAUUUGGUUUUUGACAAAUUAUAUGAAAUUUUAUUGCUGUUAAUUUUGAGGAAGUUCUCAGAUUCAAGACCAUAUAUUUUUUCAAUUUCUACCAUUUGGUUUCUGUUGACUUUAACUUUGAGUUGUAGUGGUGUUUGUGUUUUCUAAAUUUCUUCCAAUAACUUAGUUUUGUUGUAAAAUCGAUGGUGUGUGCAGUGGAAUAAAAGAAACAAGACACAAAAUUUACGAGGUUCCUCUACAGUCAGUGUGACUGGAGUACGUCCUC
Pyrus x bretschneideri (Chinese white pear) is the source of this 3131-nucleotide RNA transcript. RefSeq lists it as uncharacterized. Lineage: Eukaryota; Viridiplantae; Streptophyta; Magnoliopsida; Rosales; Rosaceae. The transcript is spliced from 5 exons. The record is from RefSeq and is a predicted model, not a curated record.